Long non-coding RNA from Gallus gallus (chicken), 1030 nucleotides. The record is from Ensembl. Lineage: Eukaryota; Metazoa; Chordata; Aves; Galliformes; Phasianidae.
AAGCAUGUGUUUCUCACAGAUGACUUAAGAGAAUAUUUUCCUCUGUAGCAGUAUGCAAAGACAAGUUCUUGUUCCAGGAAUAUUCUCUGUCUUCAGAAAUACACAGAACAAGAUUCAGAGGAGUAAGGCCAUUGGAGCCUCGACAGUCAAGGAGGAAAUGAGUGGAAAUAUUCAUUCCCAGCACAUGCACAUUGCCAUUGCUCCUCAGCACUGCAGUGCAAUGACACAGUCCAUCUUUAUGGGAGCCAUUCCUAUUGUCUUUAUCAAGAUUACCUGUUACUCCAGCUGCAUAGUAUGCAUCGUCUUUUAGCCCAAAGCAAGUAACAGUACUGUAUGCGUGACAUCCUGACUGCUGACUUAAUUAUGAAGAAAACUGGGGGACCGUGAUAUUAUAAUAUUUCAUUGGGAAAACUGAAUGGGUGCCAGUGUGCAAUGGUGGUACAGAAGGAAGUAUCAUCAGUGAUCACAGCAGUGCCUGUCCAUUUCAAGGAAUUUGCAAGAAAACAGGUGGAAGAAGGCACUGAAUGAAACUGACUGACAUUAUCUUCUGGUCUCAAAAGAGGCGUCUGGUUUUCACCAAUACUUCCCACAGCGGCUUAGGAGACAAGUUAUAUGUAUGGGCAUGGGCUCAAAUACAUGCAGAAAGGGCUUGACCUGAUACUGCUUCAAGUGCAAGACAAUAUAAAAGGUAUUUUUCUAUUUGCUGUUGCUGCUGUUUCAAGAAUGUUAAAAAACAAACAAACAAACAAACAAACAAACAAAACCAACCCUUUAAAGACUGGUGUUAUAUUCCUAUCGUUUCUAACAAUCUGAGAAUCUUGUAUUUGUAGUGAAAACAGUUCUACUUACUGUCUGAUUAGAAACUUGAUAACCUCUAUAAAUGCUACAAACUUCAAUGCCUGUUUCCACAUUUUAAAGCAAACAUGCACUGUGAAAAGUGGACUGAAAAUUCCAUUCAAGGGAAAUUCUAUUUCCCAUUUUGAUUAGACAGUGCUGGAAUCAGAACAUAUAAUGUUAUUUUCUGGCACAC